CGUGGCUUCACAUGAGUACUGGGAGGAGCUCCCAAAACCAAAGCAGAUGGGACCUCUUUGGAAGGUUUUGCAGACUCCAGCUAGGAUCAGGAGGAGCUAGCUCUCUCUUGUGGAGAUGCCAGGACAGCUGAAAGUGAUAUACCACCCUAUGGAUACCUCCACUGAAACCAGGGAUUCUGACAUAUAUCCUUCUCCACAUGCCGGGGCUCCCGUUAUGGCACAGGACCUCCCAUUAUCACCUCCUGGACCCCAUAACAAAGAUGAUAUUUUCUAUUGAAGAGCUAUAGCCUGAAGCACGGGGACUUCUUGUGGUUUUGUUUGUUUGUUUUCUUAAUGAGCAAUGUGUGCACUCUGGAAUCUCUAAUCUACUGUCUAAAGGCAAUAUUCCUUGUUAUUGGGACUUCUCAUCUGUAACAAAGCAGUCAGUGUUGGUAUUUCAGGUUUUAAGUGUUAAAAAAGAAAGUAAGACACAA
Long non-coding RNA from Hemicordylus capensis (graceful crag lizard), 473 nucleotides. RefSeq lists it as uncharacterized. The transcript has 3 exons. The record is from RefSeq and is a predicted model, not a curated record. NCBI's taxonomy places the organism in Eukaryota, Metazoa, Chordata, Lepidosauria, Squamata, Cordylidae.